RNAcentral lists this ribosomal RNA (397 nucleotides) under uncultured bacterium. RNAcentral's name for it is "partial 16S ribosomal RNA". It matches the Rfam family "Bacterial small subunit ribosomal RNA", at positions 523 to 917 of the family's 1533-position model. The record is from RNAcentral.
AUACGUAGGGUGCGAGCGUUGUCCGGAAUUACUGGGCGUAAAGAGCUCGUAGGUGGUUUGUCGCGUCGUCUGUGAACUUCCGGGGCUUAACUCCGGGCGUGCAGGCGAUACGGUCAUAACUUGAGUACUGUAGGCGAGACUGGAAUUCCUGGUGAACCGGCGAAAUGCGCAUAUAUCAGGAGGAACACAGGUGGCGAAGGCGGGUCUCUGGGCAGUAACUGACGCUGAGGAGCGAAAGCAUGGGUAGCGAACAGGAUUAGAUACCCUGGUAGUCCAUGCCGUAAACGGUGGGCGCUAGGUGUAGGGGUCUUCCACGACUUCUGUGCCGUAGCUAACGCAUUAAGCGCCCCGCCUGGGGAGUACGGCCGCAAGGCUAAAACUCAAAUGAAUUGACGGG